AUGGGCUUGAGGUCAGCAAUCGCUCAGCUCUGAAACAAGGUAAACCACAGCAUAGAAACUGGAUUCUGAGGGACAUGCAGCCUGAUUCCAAAAUUCCCUCAGGACAGUUCUUCAGGGAGCCAGUAUCAAAGGAGGAGCAUUCAUUCUGAUGUGUCAUAUUGCACAAAUAUCUGGGACAUAUGAGGACAACACUAAUUCAUGACUAUGACAUGUAAAGUAUAAGGGAUCUUGCAGGAGGCCUGAAAAGGUCAUGGAAGUUCCCUGUUGCUGUCUCUCCCUGGAACCUCUACACUAGGAGGAAGCAGGAUAUCAGAUUAUACUCAGUGAUGCUAGAGAACUGGAUGACCUUUUGCAGAAGGGUAUUACAGCUUGGA
Long non-coding RNA from Ficedula albicollis (Collared flycatcher), 374 nucleotides. RefSeq lists it as uncharacterized. The transcript has 4 exons. The record is from RefSeq and is a predicted model, not a curated record. Lineage: Eukaryota; Metazoa; Chordata; Aves; Passeriformes; Muscicapidae.